This is a long non-coding RNA of Panthera uncia (snow leopard), 2713 nucleotides long. RefSeq lists it as uncharacterized. The record is from RefSeq and is a predicted model, not a curated record. NCBI's taxonomy places the organism in Eukaryota, Metazoa, Chordata, Mammalia, Carnivora, Felidae. The transcript has 5 exons.
GAGAGAGGGAGACACAGAAUCUGAAGCAGGCUCCAGACUCCAAGCUGUCAGCACAGAGCCUGAUGUGGGGCUCGAACUCAUGGACCGUGAGAUCAUGACCUGAGCCGAAGUCAGACACUUAACUGACUGAACCACCCAGGUGCCCUGUAGGUAUGUUAUUCUUAAUUAAAUUGAAUUAAUUUAUUUACAAAUAGGUAAUAAGUUCACUUAGAAAUUUAAAAGUGCUACAAGGGAGGACAAUACAAAUUCUCCUUCUCACCCCCUUUCCUCUGGUCACUUACUUCCCAUUCCUGGAGGCAGCCAGUUUUGUUACCAGUUUUGUGAGUGGUUUUGGCACCAUAGACAAGCAUGCAUGCUUACACAUAGUACACACAUGUGCACACACACACUCACAUGUAUUCUCCUGCUUUUUGUUUUUAACAGGCCUAAACGUGUGCUAACUUAGCACUAUACGUGAAUCAUUUUGAUACAUACCCAAAAAACCCUUCCAGGAUGUUGUCCAAGUCACAAUGCAGCCGAUCAGCAAUUUACUAACUCCUUGCACCGCGCAUCUUCUGAAGCCUGUUUUCUUUUGGUUUUCCCACGCCCUUAUUGGCCUGUUCUCCCCAGCAUCCUCUGGGAUCCUUUGACUUUCCAUCUUGGGGUUUCCAAGGGCUUCUUUGCAGCCUGCUCCUAUUCUCCCCUGUAUAUCCUUUGGAAUGAUCAUAUUAAUCUAUUAUGUGGUUUGAUGCUCAGUCAUAUACAGAUGUCAUUCUGAUGGAGUUCUCUGGACAGACCUCCUUGCUAAGAUUAAGAAUGACAUCAUCAACUCCCUAUAGGAAACCUGGUUAUCUUCAUGAGAUAUCCUCUAGGCAUCUCAAAGCCAACUGGUCCAUACGAGAACUCAUUCCCAGCCUCUCCCUUUCCUCCUCCAGUGUUCCAGUUCCUAGCCACAAACCUGCUGACCUAUGCACAAGAGAUUGAUGUCAUCGAAACUAACCAGUCACCCCAGCCAGAAAUCAGCUCGUCUUCUCACUGUCUCCUUCCCUUUUACUCUCCAGAUUCUGACAGUCUUCAGGUUUUCCUAAUUUAGAUGUGAAAUCUGUCACAGCAAUCCCUUCUGUCUGUUUCCAAAACCCUCCUUAGUUUAAGUCCUCGUCACUUUUUACUAAGAUUAUUGAAAACUUGGCUGCUUCUCUGUCUUCUCACCCCUCUGAUUCAUCUUCCACAAGGCGGCUGCUAGGGUGAGCUUCUCCAAAUCCGCUUCAUCACCGUCUUGCUUAAAACCUGACCAUGGCUUUCUGUGGAUUUUAAGGCAUUUAAGGAACUUGACUUUCAGAAAGACAGUGCUUUUUGGACCUGAAGUUAACACUUUCCUCCCUGGUUAAUGCUGCCCUGUUCUGAACUUCUCUGUUCAAAGGUUGGCAUGAAGACAGCUACUGAGAGCUUGAAGGAGGAUCCAGCCUGCUUCUCACACCACUGAAGUUCCCUCUUCAUCACCUUGGCUUUGCACUUCCCGGAAUGGAACUGCUUGUUAACUCUCUGAACUAGCCCAAAGCAGCCAGGCACCAGACAGAGACAUCUCUGAUAACUUGCUCAGCUUUUAACAGUGGAUUGAGUUCAAAUCUCUUUGUACAGGAGCCUAACUAGGACCAGGUGGAGACCACAGGGCGCCAGGCACUAUGAAGAACUGGUCCGAUCGUUGCAGGUGUUUGCGGUUGGAACGGGCUGCCUCAAGAGGUGGUGAGGUCCUGUUAACUGCGCUGACACCAAGGCCACUCCACAGGGGAGAAGAGGGUGCAGAUGAUGUUGGACGUGCUUCCUUCUCAACCGGAAAGUUUCACAUCCAAUAGGGAAGAGGGAGUCAGAGUGAGAGGUGGGUAUGGCACUCGUGAGGCAAUGGCCGAUGGCUCUUGCCUGCUUUCAAGCUCAGAACGUAUCAGUCAAGAGUCUUAUCAACUUAUUGAUAUCCCUUAAUCAAUGGGAACUCCCUGGGUGGCCAGAGUCAGAAUACAUUGCUCCUUGAGUUAAUCCCCUCCACUGCGGUGUAUGCUUCCUCAGUUGCUGUGCAUUUUAGGUGUUUGCGUGGUAGCUUCUCAUCUGAGAAUUUAUGCCUUCUGUGGCUGAGGCUUGUGCCUCGGCAUAAAUAAAAGAGUUGCUUAAGAAAUCAUUUUUUCUCUAAGUGUAUUUUAAAGGAAAUCAAUAUAAAUUCAAUUUGUCCUUUUUUUCUCCUGUUUUGGUUCCUCAAGCUCUAGAACCCCAGAGAUGGUCAGAAAACCUUCCCUCAUUGAAUGCCCUCAGAGCCAUCAACCCUCUCCACUGCCCUGUUGAGAAUAACUUCAUCAGUGGAUAAUAUUCUGACAUACGUCAUCUGUGUAUUAUAAGGUUUAACUGGGAUGGUUUUCUCAGAACUUCAAGACAGUUCAACUGAAGCAGAUCAGUGAAUAUUUUUUUAAAUUAACCUGGCAUUAAUACUGGUUUAACAUCAGUGAAAAGCCAAGUAGAGGUUUUGAACGUAAGGAAGCUGGUUUCAGACGAGUAACCUCUUUGAUCCAGGAUUGUACUAAACACAUACACACUAUCUGUUCUAAUCUUCAACAUUCUGUAAAAAGAAGAAACUGAGGCUAAGAGAUUAAGAUAGCUUGCCUGGUUGUGAACCAAAUGCCUCACCUUGAAGGUGGCAGGACCACCAUUUGAACCCCCCCAUUCUAAAUACCAUUGUUUUUCGAAUAAA